CAACCCCUCAACAGCAACAUUGUACCCAUCAGGUAAAACAUGGGCUACGUUUGCUUUGCAUUGUCUCCACCUGAUGGCAGUGAUAUAGUAAGAUGCGAUUCCAUAUUAGAUUCUUGAUGAAUGUGGGUUGUUGUUAUUCAGCCUGGUUCUAUGUGCCCCUUUUUUAACUUUGAGCAUUCACCCCUUUAAACAUCUCUGCACGGCCCUGCUAUGUAGCACUUACCUUUGCUUUAAUGAUGAACAAUUUCUUGUGCUUCACCUCCCCCACAGCAGCAUUAUGUAUCCAUCAAUAUUGAAAAUACAUGUACCUGUCCCUACUUGUUACUUGGAAAUGUAAUAGAUUUAGAGAAGUCCAGGGGAUGCAAAGUCCUGCUAGGAACAUUGACAAGAGAAAAGUGUGAAAGCUGAUAAGUUCAGUCUGUCUGGGUGAGAUCUCAACCAUAUUGCAUGAUAUUGACCUACUGACCUACGUGUGGACGUAGCCUCAGUUUAAGUUAUUGUAAAAUAUCUUCAAUUUGCUUCUUUAUUUGCUUAAGUUUUAGAAUUUUAUUUUUUUUUAUCUUCCUGCUCAGCGUCUGCAUAGUUCUGGCCAUUUUAUUCUAGUUUUUUAUUCUAGAUUACAGCUCUGUGAUUUUAUUCUUAGUUUUGUUUGUUCUCUGUGUCAAGUCUGUAUUUCUGUUCUGUUUUCUGUUCCCCUUGUUCAAUUGCUCACCUGUUUUAUUUUGUUGAUCUUUUUGUCAUCUGUGUUUGUAUUUAGUUACAUCCAUUUUCUUGUUUUCUCAAUCAGGUUUAGCUUUCUUCCCAGGUGUCACAAAUCCCACAAAUCUUCUGUAUUUAUUCUCUCAGUUUGUCUUAGUUCAUUGUAGCAUCCUCCCUAAUGGUUGUUUGUCUUCCUGCUCUUUAUUUCCCUAGUUUUGGAUUCCUUCAUUGUUUUUUGAAGCUGUUUUUUGAAUCUUUCUGCAUAUAGGUUUAAAUCCUGUCUGUCAAAUAGUCAUUACAUGACACCUUUUGGUAACUAUUUGUAAUUAAGUAAGAGUGCCUUUUGAACUGAAAUUAUAAUCGGCAUCAUGGAAGGAAGGGUAGAACACCACAUAUUUGUGAUUUUACACAUUAAAAUUAAAAAAUGUUGACUGGAAACCUCUGAAGGCUGAUAGAUUAGUACCAGCACUGUCUGCUUAAAGCUGGAAGGGUUCUAUUGAGGAACAUUCAUGUUAUUUGUCUUUGACUGAAGUAGUGAUAGACCAAGAACAGAUAUAAAAUGCUAUUAUGAAUGGUCAGGUCAUCAACAAUCAUUUUUCCUAUAAUGUAGGAGUUAAAAAAGGAUACAACUCAUUUUAUUAACUACAUCUCUGAAAUUAACCCAAUAUAGUUAUGACUAUAAAACUACAUUUUGUAGUGUUUAAUGCUCUUUUCCACUGCUGACUACAAAGAUUAAAUAUUUCAUUGUUUUUUUUAAUUCAAUAGCACUACUGUUAGCUCAAUAGACCCUUAACAUUUGAGGUUGUUACAGAUUCUUCUACAUAUAUUGUAUUAUAUUCUACAUAAGGUUAUGCAGGAAUGUGGUGAUGACUUUGAGCUAAAAGGAAACACUUUGGGAACUUACCCUAAGGCCAUACCACUUGUUUUCCUUCAAAAUGUC
Astatotilapia calliptera (eastern happy) is the source of this 1639-nucleotide long non-coding RNA. The record is from Ensembl. NCBI's taxonomy places the organism in Eukaryota, Metazoa, Chordata, Actinopteri, Cichliformes, Cichlidae.